UACAUGGGGUGCAAACGUUGCUCGGAAUUAUUGGGCGUAAAGCGCACGUAGGCGGUUCGUUAAGUCGGAUGUGAAAGCCCUCGGCUCAACUGAGGAAGUGCACCCGAAACUGGCGAGCUUGAGUACGAAAGAGGAUCGCGGAAUUCCCGGUGUAGAGGUGAAAUUCGUAGAUAUCAGGAGGAACACCGGUGGCGAAGGCGGGUCUCUGGGCAUUAACUGACGCUGAGGAGCGAAAGCAUGGGGAGCGAACAGG
This 253-nucleotide ribosomal RNA is filed under the name uncultured bacterium. RNAcentral's name for it is "partial 16S ribosomal RNA". It matches the Rfam family "Bacterial small subunit ribosomal RNA", at positions 524 to 776 of the family's 1533-position model. The record is from RNAcentral.